Long non-coding RNA from Astyanax mexicanus (Mexican tetra), 1298 nucleotides. RefSeq lists it as uncharacterized. The record is from RefSeq and is a predicted model, not a curated record. Lineage: Eukaryota; Metazoa; Chordata; Actinopteri; Characiformes; Acestrorhamphidae. The transcript has 3 exons.
CUCCGUAGAAAAAGUCGGGAGUGACAGAGAGGCCAGAGCCGCUGACAGCUUCAGCGAGAGCAGCCGGUCAAGGAGGGAGUCCUGGAGCCCGGGAGCGCCCACUCUUCACUCUUCAGCUUCCAUCUUUCACACAGAGCUCUGUGUAGUUAACAGAGCGAAGUUGGAGACUUUUAGAGUAAACAUUAGUUAUAGUAAAGAAACAGAAGAAGACCGAGAACAUGGCGAGUGGCUGUGGAGCAGGGGGACAUCCCUGCAGUCCUCUCCUGACAGACGAGCUCCAGAGACCGGGGCUGAUAACUCGGUAGUAGUAGUACACUGAGUACCGCGGGAAAGUUCUCUACUAGUUAGCCUACAAGCUACAGCGGGAGGUUCAGCCUGCGCUCCCGCGAGGAAUGCUGAACUGCUUCGGUCACUGUGGCGAACUCCAUGUCCGAUGACUUUUCCCACAAGAACCACUGAAGACACACAGAAAGAGGGGAGCAAAAAUGUGUGUAUGUGUAUGAGAUGAUGUGACAACUUUCCUCCGCAAGUGAACUGUGGAAAGGAGAGCUGGAAUGAGAUUUGUGCUGCGAACAGAAGAGAGGAAAGCAUAGACACCAUAGUGGAAAGGAUGUAUAUGAUAUAAGGUAUGUUAUAAUGUAAGGAAUAUCAAAGCAUUAGCGGCUGUAAUGUUUACUUAAACAAACAAAAAUGUGAGCUGUUUUAAUAUCAUCUUGUAAAGACCUGUAAUUCAAAUGCACAUUUUAACCAGGGAAGCACCAAAAAUUUGUCUGAAAAUAAUAGAGCAAUAGAGCACACCGAACAAUGAUAUUUUUGAUGUUAAAAUGGUCAUUGUUCAAUAUUUUUUUUACUUAGGCUACAUUUAGGCUAUUUAAUUUAUGCAUUGAUAAAAACAAUGGCAAAAAAACUGGUAUUUUAUUUUCUGUCCAAAUUUUUCAUAUUGGUGCAUUUCUUAUUUUAAUCUAAACAUUACUUUUAAUGUCAUUCUCUUUGCUAAAUAAUCCUAUAUAAUUUGUAUUUAAAAUAAAUAAAGACUUCUAUGAUAUAUCACAGUAUUUGGAUACACUUCCAGGGGUCCAUUGAGUAAACAUAUGUAAAGCAAAUCCCUUGUAUCUCUAAAAGGGCCUAACUUUUUAAAAGAGAAUGAAAAAAAAAACAAAAAACAUUUUAAGUGAAAUUAACUGAAAUUUCUUAAUAUUUAAUGGAGAUGGAGAUGCAAAGUUUUUGCAAGACAACACUGUAAUGCCUUUGUUGUGAUGUAAAGAUGUUUUUGUGUUCAAUAAACUUCAGUGAACUUG